UACGUAGGUGGCAAGCGUUUGUCCGGGAAUUAUUGGGCGUAAAGAGCUUGUAGGCGGUUUUGUCGCGUCUGCUGUGAAAUUUCGGGGCUCAACCCCGAACUUGCAGUGGGUACGGGCAGACUAGAGUGUGGUAGGGGAGACUGGAAUUCCUGGUGUAGCGGUGAAAUGCGCAGAUAUCAGGAGGAACACCGAUGGCGAAGGCAGGUCUCUGGGCCAUAACUGACGCUGAGAAGCGAAAGCGUGGGGAGCGAACAGG
RNAcentral lists this ribosomal RNA (256 nucleotides) under uncultured bacterium. Its description in RNAcentral is "partial 16S ribosomal RNA". It matches the Rfam family "Bacterial small subunit ribosomal RNA", at positions 524 to 776 of the family's 1533-position model. The record is from RNAcentral.